Molecule: ribosomal RNA, 300 nt
Filed under: uncultured Helicobacter sp.
Lineage: Bacteria; Pseudomonadati; Campylobacterota; Epsilonproteobacteria; Campylobacterales; Helicobacteraceae
Description: bacterial SSU rRNA
Rfam family: Bacterial small subunit ribosomal RNA
Source: RNAcentral
GGUAAGGUGUGUCCAGCAGGCGUGGAGAUACGAAGGUCCCGGGGUGUUUGUGGGUUUACUGGGCGUGAAGGGGAUGUAGGCGGGGCGGGAAGGCAGAUGGGAAAGGCCGGGGCUCAACCCCGGAACUGCAUCCGAUACUGCCGUGCUUGAGGAUCGGAGGGGAGUCUGGAAUUCACGGUGUAGCAGUGAAAUGCGUAGAUAUCGUGAGGAACACUAGUGGCGAAGGCGAGACUCUGGACGAUUCCUGACGCUGAGAGGCGAAGGCCAGGGGAGCGAAAAGGAUUAGAUACCUGAGUAGUC